UCCAAACUUGGCUGUCUGAAAAAGAAUGUUCUCUGAUUGGCAUUCCUGGAAGCAGAAGGCAAGGCAGCUCAAGUUUUGUUCUGUUGCUCUGCAGGAAAAACUUCCCCAGGUACACAUAAUAUGAACAAAUCUAUGAGUUAGAAGAAGAAUGAGUGAUCCCCUUCUACAGAGUGCUUUGGGUGCUUUGGACCCAGCAGUUCUCUGCCAAGAGACCUUGAGACUGCUUCCAGGUCUGUCUUUUCAAGGUGGACCUGCCUCUGAUUGGGCACUGGAGAAGCCAACCUGGAAAUGCCAACAAGCACAGACAGAAAAAGCUCCAAUAAAAGGGAAAAUAAGAAGGUAUUCGGACUGCUGUAUGAAGAGCGCAUUAGUUUAGAAGUAAGACCAAUGGAGAAGAUGCUGCACUAGUUCAGGGUGAAUCCUUUUACGGCCCAUGCCACCAGCUUCCAAACACGACCAUCACCCCACAUUUGGGGCCCCCCAUCUGAUGGAGAGAGACACCACAGAGAGUAACUUGUACAUUAUUAAAAACUGACGAAUACUUGUUG
Zalophus californianus (California sea lion) is the source of this 548-nucleotide long non-coding RNA. RefSeq lists it as uncharacterized. The transcript has 4 exons. Lineage: Eukaryota; Metazoa; Chordata; Mammalia; Carnivora; Otariidae. The record is from RefSeq and is a predicted model, not a curated record.